GUCUGCGUGGAGCCAACCUUGAAAUACCACCCUUUAAUGUUUGAUGUUCUAACGUGGACCCGUAAUCCGGGUUGCGGACAGUGUCUGGUGGGUAGUUUGACUGGGGCGGUCUCCUCCUAAAGAGUAACGGAGGAGCACGAAGGUUGGCUAAUCCUGGUCGGACAUCAGGAGGUUAGUGCAAUGGCAUAAGCCAGCUUGACUGCGAGCGUGACGGCGCGAGCAGGUGCGAAAGCAGGUCAUAGUGAUCCGGUGGUUCUGAAUGGAAGGGCCAUCGCUCAACGGAUAAAAGGUACUCCGGGGAUAACAGGCUGAUACCGCCCAAGAGUUCAUAUCGACGGCGGUGUUUGGCACCUCGAUGUCGGCUCAUCACAUCCUGGGGCUGAAGUAGGUCCCAAGGGUAUGGCUGUUCGCCAUUUAAAGUGGUACGCGAGCUGGGUUUAGAACGUCGUGAGACAGUUCGGUCCCUAUCUGCCGUGGGCGCUGGAGAACUGAGGGGGGCUGCUCCUAGUACGAGAGGACCGGAGUGGACGCAUCACUGGUGUUCGGGUUGUCAUGCCAAUGGCACUGCCCGGUAGCUAAAUGCGGAAGAGAUAAGUGCUGAAAGCAUCUAAGCACGAAACUUGCCCCGAGAUGAGUUCUCCCUGAGACUUAGAGUCUCCUGA
Molecule: ribosomal RNA, 662 nt
Filed under: Salmonella enterica subsp. enterica serovar Senftenberg
Lineage: Bacteria; Pseudomonadati; Pseudomonadota; Gammaproteobacteria; Enterobacterales; Enterobacteriaceae
Description: partial 23S ribosomal RNA
Rfam family: Bacterial large subunit ribosomal RNA
Source: RNAcentral